GCUGGGUGUAGUGGCGGGCACUUGUAAUCCCAGCUACUCGGGAGGCUGAGGCAGGAGAAUCACUUGAACCCGGGAGGCGGAGGUUGCAGUGAGCUGAGAUUGGGCCACUGCACUCCAGCCCGGGUGACAGAGUGAGAUUCUGUCUAAA
RNAcentral lists this small RNA (148 nucleotides) under Papio anubis (olive baboon). RNAcentral's name for it is "Metazoan signal recognition particle RNA (ENSPANG00000043421.1)". The record is from Rfam by way of RNAcentral. Lineage: Eukaryota; Metazoa; Chordata; Mammalia; Primates; Cercopithecidae.